Molecule: ribosomal RNA, 253 nt
Filed under: uncultured bacterium
Lineage: Bacteria
Description: partial 16S ribosomal RNA
Rfam family: Bacterial small subunit ribosomal RNA
Source: RNAcentral
AACGUAGGAGACAAACGUUAUCCGGAGUUACUGGGCGUAAAGGGCGUGUAGGCGGUUCGUUAAGUCUGGCGUGAAAGCUCUCGGCUAAACCGGGAGAGGUCGUUGGAUACUGGCGGACUAGAGGACGGUAGAGGCGUGUGGAAUUCCGGGUGUAGUGGUGAAAUGCGUAGAGAUCCGGAGGAACACCGAUGGCGAAGGCAGCCUCCUGGGCCAGCACUGACGCUCAUGCACGAAAGCGUGGGGAGCAAACAGG